Ceratina calcarata is the source of this 4664-nucleotide RNA transcript. It is a transcript of the gene named heterogeneous nuclear ribonucleoprotein U-like protein 2, with no coding region annotated. NCBI's taxonomy places the organism in Eukaryota, Metazoa, Arthropoda, Insecta, Hymenoptera, Apidae. The transcript is spliced from 7 exons. The record is from RefSeq and is a predicted model, not a curated record.
CGCCAUAUUGUAUAUUUAACGCGGGUCACUGGCGCGUUUAUGGGCUUUUCAUGAGAUUUUCUGCCGAGUAAAAGUGCGCGGACUAAAGAGGUAAUCGUGAUACAUAACGCGAGAUGGAUCCGGAAAAGUUGAAAGUGACUGAGUUACGGACAGAGCUCGCGAAACGUAAACUCGACACGAAAGGCGUCAAGUCAGUGCUUGUCGCGAGACUUCGUAAGGCGAUAGAAGAAGAAAAUCCAAGCCAACCAAAUCAGGAGAAGGCAAAUGCCAGUGGGAAAGAUUCGCAGGAUGAUAAUGUUCAAGAGGAUGAGGAGAAAUCGUCGAGGGUACCCCAGACACUGAAAAAGUCUCCUAGAUUGUCGAAAAAUGUUGCUACUUCGCCACAGAAAACCUCUCCUGCAGUGACGAGACGAAGAACUUCUAGCAGACCUUCUAGUUACCUCGGUAGGAAGAUGUCUCUAAAGAAAUCAGAUCAAAGUGACAUCUCUCGUGAAACAUCUCCGGAGGUAUCAGACUCUGUUUUACAAGAUGAGUCUUCUAUGCAAGAGGAUACUAUGCCAGAAGAAACAAGCACACAAGAUGAAGAGGCUCCUAUGCAAGAAGAAACUCCUGCGCAGAGAGAAAAAACUCCUGUAAGAGAAGAGAAACCUGCAUCUGUUGAGAAGGUCGAAGGGAAAGAUGCAAAAGAUUUGUUACCAAGUGCUGGAAAUGAAAAUGCUGUUUCUAUGGAAGAUAUAAAAGAGAACAAAGCAAAAGCAACUGACGUUGCAAAAAGUAAUGAAAAUCAAAAUACAAAUGUUUUACAGCCAUCGCCUGUAAAGUCACCUGUAAAAUCGCCUGUAAAGUUGCCUUUAAAAUCGCCUGUAAAAUGUAGCAAUACUGAAGUCCAGAUUCCGAAAAAAUCAGAGGAUGAUGACAAUAGAAUUGAUCAAAAACAACCAACCACGGUGAUUAAAUCACCUCAGAAACCGCAGAACGUAGGUAUUGAACAGAAUGAAAGCACUGCUUCUGAAACUGAUACAGUGCCUGGAAUUAAUGAUACCUGUGAUAAUAAAGAUGAUAUCGAGAAAGAAGAAGUAGACAUGCAAGAAAAGAGCGCAGAAUCUGUAGAUGAUAGUAACAUUGUAGAAUCAGUUGAUGUUAGCAAAAUGACUGAGACACCAGAUGAUGAUAAUACCGAAAAAGUCGUUGAUGCUAAUAAAACUGAUAUACCAGUUUAUACAGUCGAAGAAGAAGAAGACGAAAGUAUGGACAUUAAUGAGAACGAUAAAUUAAAGAACGAAGACCAGUUCGAGGGCACCAAGGAAACUUCACCCGUCAGCAAGAAAGAAAUCGACAGUAGCGUCGAUGUCAAAGAAGAAGGACAGGACGUAGAAUUGAGCGAACUAAAACACGACGAAGAUACAGAUGUAGAUAUGAGAGAAGAAGCCUCGACCGAGGCCGUGAGUGACAAAAAGCGGAAGAGAUCGCCUAGUCCUACGGAAGAAGAGCGUCACGAUUCACCGCUGCCUAUUUUUACCGAAAACGAGCCAGAGAUUGACGAGUCUGCUUUGAUUCUAUCCUGGUAUGAUUCAGAUUUGAAUUUGGUCAUCGACAAAAAUGGAUUCUUUACUGCUACUCCCAUGCACAACGACGGAUUCUUGAACAUGUGGGCCGGAGCGAGAGCUUCCUACGGAUUUCUCUGCGGGAAAGUUUACUACGAAGCGAAGAUAGUGGAACACUGUACCGCGGAAAACGAGGAUCAACCGCAUGUACUUAGAGUCGGUUGGUCUAUCCCGAACACGUCUAUGCAACUCGGCGAAGAGAAAUUCAGUUUCGGGUACAACAGCACCGGGAAAAAGUUGACGGACAAUCAAUACGAAGACUAUGGGACUGCAUUUGGAAAGGACGAUGUCAUCGGUUGUUAUUUCGACGCAACAUCCGAAAAUAUUGUCCUCUCUUAUAGUAUUAAUGGACAAGAUCAGGGCAUUGCGUUUAGCAUAUCUAAAGACGAGCUCGGCGACCAACCACUAUUUCCACAUGUUCUAAGUAAGAACUGCAGCUUCGCUUGCAACUUCGGUCAGGAGUCACCGUGGGCAGAACGAAUUUUGGAAGGCUACGUCUCGAUCGGGAACGUUGAGCCUCAGUACAAAAUAGCUGGCCCGCGAAGACCGGAGAAGAAGAACGAUUGCGAAGUGAUAAUGAUUUGCGGUUUGCCUGCCUGCGGCAAGACUACCUGGGCGACGAAGUACGCGGCUGAUCAUCCACAGAAGAUGUACAAUAUUUUAGGGAUUAGUAGUUUAAUCGACAAACUGAAAGAUUCUGGAUUAUCUUACAAGAAGGAGCAUGACGACCAAUGGAAGACAAUUGUCGACAGAUGUACCGACGCAUUAAAUAAACUGAUAGAACUGGCUGCAAGUAGAAGACGUAAUUACAUAUUAGAUCAGACAAACGUGUACCCUUCCAUGCAGAGGCGCAAGAUGAAGAACUUUUACGGAUACCAGAGGAAAGCGGUCGUUAUAGUACCGUCCGAUGAGGAAUUCAAGUCACGUAUUGCGAAACAUAAGCCGAUCGAUGGCACGGAGAUCACGGAUUCUCUGCUCUUGGAAAUGAAAUCAAGUUUCAGAGCUCCAGUCGUUGGUGAAUCUUUCGACGAAGUUAAUUGGAUCGAACUGGAUCAAGAAGAGGGCGGCAAACUUAUGGAAGCGUACAAUAAAGAAGGAAAGGACGCUGGUUACGGUGAACAGCAAAUUAGUAAACGACCGCGAAUCGAUUCUAAAUCUGACGACAACAAUGAUAGUCGAAACGACGCACGCAAUCGCGAUAACAGGGACAAUCGAGAUUAUCGUGACAGACGAAAUAAUUAUUCAGACAGAAAUCGAAAUCCGAUUUGGCGCGGCGGGGGCGGUGGUAAUAUGGGAUGGAGAGACAGACCGCAAAGAGGAGGUGGACAUGUAAGACAUGGAACUGGUUAUGGCCCUCCGAUGCACCCACGGAGAAGAAGAGGCGCACCUAUCCCACUGGUACAUCGAUCGAUGAACAGAAGGGGUGGUAAUAUGGACAGACGAGGAGGAAAUGACAGAGGUCGAGCACUGGUUUCUCGUCCAGGAGUGCGGCCAAGAGCUCACGGGAAUUAUCAAGGACAGCAACAGGCAGUAUGGGGUGGCAACCAACAGGGCAGUUGGCAGAGCGGUCAAUCCCAAGAAGGCUGGGGCCAACAACAAAGUAAUUGGGGAUCACAACCGUGGAGUAAUAAUUGGAAGUCGUACGGCCAAAGUUCGUACAAUCAGAACAGUUACAAUCCACAAGGUUAUGGUAACGGGAAUUGGAAUAGUUGGAAUCAGCAGUAUUAUAAUCAGUAUUGGGGUCAGCAGCAACAACAACAGAGCGGGCAGACUACGACUAGCGGACAAGCUUCGAACAAACAAUAAUCCACUAGGAGAUAUGAGUCAGAAUGUGAGAUACAAAGAGGUACGCGAGUACAUUUGAUUUCUUGUCGUAAAUAGAUGAAGAGAAAUUGUAAUGAGGUGAAGAUAGAAAAUGAUCAACGUUAAUAACAUAGAUGUAUAUUCUUCGUGCCGGAGAAAUAGUGAAUGUGGCAGACAGAAUGAAAAAGCACAACUGCUCUUAUCUAACGAUUCCAGAGAGAUUUAGAGUUACCCGUGUGAAUGGCAAAAAGGGUAUAUGGGCAAUCUCUUGGUCACAGUGCAGUCAUUACUGGGCAUCGGUUCUGAUUACACAUAAAUAGAUGGACAAAUUUUUUCACGACAAUAUAUUCACAAUCUUUUUUUCGUUCGUGUACUUUGCGAUCUACGUAUUUUAAAGUUAUCCCGAUUAUGUAACUCGAGCAACAAUUUAGAUUUUUAUCGAGUGAAGGCACCGUUAUACAUGCACCACAUAAAGUUGAUCCUUUUUUUGUCGUUUUUGAGGAACGUAAUACAUACUAUAUAUUACAGGGUGUUCGACUACUGGUGGGAAAAAUUUCAAGGGGUAAUUCUACACACCAAGAUAAAUCAACAGUCAAGAUUGCUUCCAAAGCGAUUAGGGAUUGCACCUGAUGGUAGGCAAAUUUGGCUACCGCCUGAUGUCUGUUCUCAAAGACGACGUGUGCCUAAAAUUCUGAAUAUUAAGAUACUACUUGUAUUUUAGGAUCUCGGAAACAAUUUUCGUACUCUUGACUUUUGCCUUAUUUUGACUUCUAGAAUCCCUUACAAUUUUUCCCACCAGUAGCCGAACAUCCCGUACGUGUAACGUGCGAUAUGAAUUUAUCGCAAUAAAUUAUGUAACGACGAGAUCGUAUUCGUAUUACAUGCGUAGUUUUAAAAUAAAAAAAUAAGUAAAAGGGGGUAACGUACAAAUGUCUUGUAACGUCUUUCAAUUGAAAAAUCGGUCAAGAGGAAGGACAUCACGUAUGGGUACACUAUGCAAUUAGAAUUAAGAAUAAAAAUGUUUGCAAUGAAUAGUGGCUCGCGGAAUAGGCUCGUGUAAAUAUGUACAGAUUUUCAAACGUUCACUGGAAGUCUGUUUAUAUAUUGAUAAUAAAAUUGUAUCAUGUAAUUCUAAAAAAAGAUGUAUUACACGAGAGUGAUGAUGUAUAUGAUUUUUGUCUUAUCUUUCUAUACUAACUACGAUGUACAAAAAGAAGAAAAUAUCGUCACGAAUAAAUUAUUAUUGGAUUUUAUUUA